RNA transcript from Zea mays, 2160 nucleotides. RefSeq lists it as uncharacterized. The transcript has 2 exons. The record is from RefSeq and is marked validated. Lineage: Eukaryota; Viridiplantae; Streptophyta; Magnoliopsida; Poales; Poaceae.
GGCGACCUGCUUCUGCUUGCGUGCCUGGAAGGCUGGAACUCAGCUCAACCACCUCUUUGGCUCUAUCCCCGUUUGGCUCAAGCAGCUGCCCAGCCUUGUCUACCGUUCAAGCCCAAACGAAAAAAAAAACAAAAAAAAACUCAAACCAUAGCUUCGUAAACCCUCGCCGCCGCCGCCGCCGCCGCCGCCGAUGACAUCGGAGGAGCACCCCUCGUCUGCGUCCUCGGACGGCAGCACCACCAUCGGCUCCGACGAACAUCUUGACCCCUCGCCAUCACCUUCGACGUCCUUCGACUCUCCUCCUGAAUCCGACGACUCCGCCGCCUCCUCGCUGCUCUCAGACGGCUCUUCAGAGUCCGAGCCCAUCAUUUUCAAGAAACCCCGCCCACCCGUGCGCUCGUGGCCGGCCUCCGACGAGAUCGCGAUCCUCGAGACCGUCGCGUCGCACCGGCAGAAGCACGGGCGACUUCCCCUGGCAGACGACCUCGCCGCCGCGGUGCGGGGCCGCCUCAGCGUGGGGGACCGCCUCAGCGCCGCGCAGAUCACCAGGCGGCUGUGCGCGCUCCGCAACCGGUACGACAACACCGUUAUCCGCCUCAAACGCGGCACGAUCCCGGCGAAGGACAGCGACGUCACCAUCUACAGGCUCUCCAAGCUCAUCUGGGAGGGCACGCGCAGGGGGAGGAUAGAGAAGAAGACCCGUGUGCCCGACGCGCGCAAUGACCCAAGAGGGUUCGACGAUCUGGCCGAGCUGUACCCUUGCCUCUCCGCGGAGGUGGAGGCGAUUGGUGCGAGGUGCGGCUACGGGGCGCUGAAGAGGGCAUUCGGGCGCAUCGGUGACGACACGGCGGCGCGGCUGGAGGCGAAGCUGAAGAGGCAGCGGAUGGCGGAGACCAGGGCGAGCGGAAAGCUUGACCGGCUGAGGUCGAGAGUCGCCAAUGCGCUUCAGGGAUUUAACAAGUGAAAUGGUGAUUUCUUCAUCUUCUUUCUGUUGCUACAUGGGUUGGCGUAGAAAGACACAGUAAGAUUGGUUCCUUCGCAUGGUUUCAUGGUUGAAAUGUUAUCAGAUUCUCUGUGGCAAGUUUGAGGGCACUAUCAACUGCAAAGAAUCUGAAAUGUCAUGCUGUCAAUAUUUGUUUUGCACUACCAUUGUCUGAGCUAAGAACAGGUUUUCAGAAGCAAAAUAAAUUUUCCCGCAGUGAUAAAAUUCAAAGUACAGAAGUACACUGAUUCUCUACACUAUCUUAUGGUUUGUUGGUUUCAAGCUGCUAACACACACUAUCUAAUGCAAAUGGUUGUUACAGCAUGACACAACAAUCUAAUUUAAAUGCACAGAGUGAUGAUAUUUCAGGCAUAGUGUUGGGUUUUGCUUUGAUGGGUUAUUUUGAUUAGGAUGGAAAGUUAGGGCAGUGUUUGGAAGGGCUUCUGCUCCCAGAUUAUCAAUCCAGAGCAGCUGGAGCUGGAGCUCAUUCCAAGCACUGCCCUGUGAUUAUGACUAUGUAAUUCUCUGGAUUCUUUAUGAUUCAGAAUACUGAUCUUUUUGUGUUUUCUUUUCUCACUUUCUUUUGAUUAUCAUUACAGGAAUAGCUCAAAGUAUGAUGAUCAGUAGCACAGUAAUAGUUUGAUAGGAAUAUAUGCUGUGCUCACUGAGCCUUCGUGCUCACAUGAGUACUUUAAAUCCGGUAUAUCAUGAUCAAUCCAACGAGGCCGACAAUGUUUCACUUAUCCCCUCCCGCCUCAGCUCUGAUGGCAUAGGAGAAGUGGCGGACUUUGUUGAAGGAGCUGAACGUGGACGUCUGGAGGAUUAUUAGACAAUAGACACGCCAAGUGAAAGUGGCUUUAAGAUUUUGUCAAGGAGAGGAAGCUACAUAACAUGGAGGACUUGCUUUGAUGUUCUGCUUAGGUUCUAUUUGGGACUGAUCUAACUUUAAAAAAUUAAUUUGGUGGAGCUGGCAUAGCAGGUUAUUAGGUUUAUUAGGUGAUCCAGAAAAUCCUAGACCUGCAGAACCUUUAGAAAAUAUCUUGAUAAGUCAUUUUAUUUAUAUUUUAGAUUAAAAAUAUAUUUAAAUUUAUAUUAUAAACUACAACCCCAAGCUAAAGUUGGAACAUGGAGCAAUCAUAAACACCCCUUUAAUUCUUGAGGGUUGGAUUUUUUUUGGA